UGCGAAGCUCGCUCUCGUCUUAGCUUGCAUCACCUACCACAUAAACUUACCUCACUAGUAUAUAAGCUUAUUUCCUGAUCUUUCCAAGAAGCACAUAUACCUUCGCCCUUCGCCCUAUACCAUACGCCAACAGACAAGUGUUAAAGAGGUACACCUUACACAUCUCAUCGCUUAGUUAAACUACAGCUUUCCAUCUCGUGUCCAAGGCCGGACCUUGUUGGGGACGAGUCGUAACAUCAUGUCAGUUAGGAAAGACGAUAAUGAUGUACAUGGCAUUAAUGAUGGUGACUAUCAUUUAUUAUAUAAAUAUACAGCAAUACAGUUGAUACAAGGCAAGUAUGGCUGCGCACGGCAAAACCACUUCAAAACUUGUCUUUCCUAAUAACAUUACCGCCCCUUGCUGCCAACACUGGGCGGACACUACCAACAUUGUUUUGCCGUUUGGCCGCUGUAGGAGUAGCACUGCCACCAUUACCAGUAGCAUUUGAUGGCGUAGUGAAAAGCAGGGUUUGCCGUUUGAGUGAACUUGUAUUUGAAGGUCUCCGAACCGCUGAGGACGUGAUGGGGGUCUUGGAUGCCGAAGAAGGUUCAUAUGCAUAUUGUUUGAUCCGCUG
This 614-nucleotide small RNA is filed under the name Cryptococcus neoformans H99. RNAcentral's name for it is "Cryptococcus neoformans var. grubii H99 hypothetical RNA". Lineage: Eukaryota; Fungi; Basidiomycota; Tremellomycetes; Tremellales; Cryptococcaceae. The record is from RNAcentral.